This 23-nucleotide non-coding RNA is filed under the name Arabidopsis thaliana (thale cress). Lineage: Eukaryota; Viridiplantae; Streptophyta; Magnoliopsida; Brassicales; Brassicaceae. The record is from RNAcentral.
ACAAUUGUUAUUAAGUAAAGCCC